GUGCGUCUGGCUUUCCAUGGGUACUGGGGAAUCGAACCCUGGCUGUUAGGUUUUGCAGGUGCUGGGUCUUGGCUGCCAGCCAUGGACCUCCUAUGGUGCAGGGACUAGGCUGGGACUCCACCCGCCUUCCCAGGCCCUGUGUUGCCCAGCAUCACUAGGGGGAGCUGGCAGGCCCAAGUGAUGAGUCACACAACAUCUCCCUGUCCCGGCCCCCCUUCUCUCCCCAGCGGUGAGCUGCAGUCUCCUGCUCUUCCUGCUCAUGAUGGUGACCAUGGCUCCUUCCUGAGAAGUCUUUUCUACAGAAGCCAGGGCUGCUGGGGGAGGGGGGACCCCUGCUCCACUUGCUGCUGCAUUGUGCAAGCCUUUGCCCCGGUCCCCAGGAGCCCUCUGGACCCAAUGAUGCUGAGCCCACAACCCGCUCUGCCCCUUGAGCCUUGCCCACUUCCUCCCUGAAGCCUGCUGCCCUCUGCCAUCUAUCUGUGCCCAGACAACCUGGGUGAGGUCCAUGAAGUCCCAGAUUUUACCGGAAUUAAAAGUGUGCAACAC
This is a long non-coding RNA of Jaculus jaculus (lesser Egyptian jerboa), 546 nucleotides long. RefSeq lists it as uncharacterized. The record is from RefSeq and is a predicted model, not a curated record. NCBI's taxonomy places the organism in Eukaryota, Metazoa, Chordata, Mammalia, Rodentia, Dipodidae. The transcript is spliced from 2 exons.